RNAcentral lists this ribosomal RNA (186 nucleotides) under uncultured bacterium. RNAcentral describes it as "partial 16S ribosomal RNA". It matches the Rfam family "Bacterial small subunit ribosomal RNA", at positions 1306 to 1500 of the family's 1533-position model. The record is from RNAcentral.
UGCAACUCGACUCCAUGAAGCUGGAUUCGCUAGUAAUCGCGCAUCAGCACGGCGCGGUGAAUACGUUCCCGGGCCUUGUACACACCGCCCGUCAAGCCAUGGAAGCCGGGGGUGCCUGAAGUGCGCUGCCGCGAGGAGCGCCCUAGGGUAAAACCGGUGACUGGGGCUAAGUCGUAACAAGGUAUC